Non-coding RNA from Paralichthys olivaceus (Japanese flounder), 365 nucleotides. The record is from RefSeq and is a predicted model, not a curated record. Lineage: Eukaryota; Metazoa; Chordata; Actinopteri; Pleuronectiformes; Paralichthyidae.
UUGCAGCGCCCACAAAGGGGCUGCAGCUUCAACAGAGAACUACCGGUACCGAGAUGCCCGCGGACCCGGUGGUGUUGGUUUCCGGUAAGUGCGUAAAAAUGUGUUCGGAGCCCGGCGCUGCCGGACGGAGAAGAGAGUGAUGAGAGGAGAGGAGGAGAUGACCGGGCUGCUAUUCUUACAUCUGCUGUAUCAGAUCUGAGAGGAGGAGGCAGAGGAGGAGGAGGGGUCAAGAUGGAGGGAGCUGCCGUCAUCAGGAGACCUGAAUGAGUACUGCUAUACCGCUACCACCCCCGCCCCAUCCAUGACUUUCUACUGUGAACCGUCGACUUGUGUGCCUCAAACUCUGUAAUGGAAAAUCGUGGUGA